GCCCCUUUCGUCUAGUGGUUAGGACACAAGAUUUUCAUUCUUGCAGCAGGGGUUCGAUUCCCCUAAGGGGUACCA
RNAcentral lists this transfer RNA (75 nucleotides) under Chitinispirillales bacterium. RNAcentral describes it as "tRNA-Glu". It matches the Rfam family "tRNA". From Rfam's summary of the family: Transfer RNA (tRNA) molecules are approximately 80 nucleotides in length. Lineage: Bacteria; Pseudomonadati; Fibrobacterota; Chitinispirillia; Chitinispirillales. The record is from RNAcentral.